UACGGGGGGGGCAAGCGUUGUUCGGAAUUACUGGGCGUAAAGGGCGCGUAGGCGGCCUUCUAAGUCGGACGUGAAAUCCCUCGGCUUAACCGAGGAACUGCGUCCGAUACUGAAAGGCUUGAAUCCGGGAGAGGGAUGUGGAAUUCCAGGUGUAGCGGUGAAAUGCGUAGAUAUCGGGAGGAACACCUGUGGCGAAAGCGGCUCACUGGACCACAACUGACGCUGAGGCGCGAAAGCUAGGGGAGCAAACAGG
This 253-nucleotide ribosomal RNA is filed under the name uncultured bacterium. RNAcentral's name for it is "partial 16S ribosomal RNA". It matches the Rfam family "Bacterial small subunit ribosomal RNA", at positions 524 to 776 of the family's 1533-position model. The record is from RNAcentral.